This 587-nucleotide ribosomal RNA is filed under the name uncultured Arthrobacter sp. RNAcentral describes it as "bacterial SSU rRNA". It matches the Rfam family "Bacterial small subunit ribosomal RNA", at positions 240 to 837 of the family's 1533-position model. Lineage: Bacteria; Bacillati; Actinomycetota; Actinomycetes; Micrococcales; Micrococcaceae. The record is from RNAcentral.
UUCAGCUUGUUGGUGAGGUAAUGGCUCACCAAGGCGACGACGGGUAGCCGGCCUGAGAGGGUGACCGGCCACACUGGGACUGAGACACGGCCCAGACUCCUACGGGAGGCAGCAGUGGGGAAUAUUGCACAAUGGGCGAAAGCCUGAUGCAGCGACGCCGCGUGAGGGAUGACGGCCUUCGGGUUGUAAACCUCUUUCAGUAGGGAAGAAGCGAAAGUGACGGUACCUGCAGAAGAAGCGCCGGCUAACUACGUGCCAGCAGCCGCGGUAAUACGUAGGGCGCAAGCGUUAUCCGGAUUUAUUGGGCGUAAAGAGCUCGUAGGCGGUUUGUCGCGUCUGCCGUGAAAGUCCGAGGCUCAACCUCGGAUCUGCGGUGGGUACGGGCAGACUAGAGUGAUGUAGGGGAGACUGGAAUUCCUGGUGUAGCGGUGAAAUGCGCAGAUAUCAGGAGGAACACCGAUGGCGAAGGCAGGUCUCUGGGCAUUUACUGACGCUGAGGAGCGAAAGCAUGGGGAGCGAACAGGAUUAGAUACCCUGGUAGUCCAUGCCGUAAACGUUGGGCACUAGGUGUGGGGGACAUUCCACGU